GAUGAAGAACGCAGCGAAAUGCGAUAAGUAGUGUGAAUUGCAGAAUUCAGUGAAUCAUCGAAUCUUUGAACGCACAUUGCGCCCCUUGGUAUCCCGAGGGGCAUGCCUGUUCGAGCGUCAUUUCACCACUCAAGCCUGGCUUGGUGUUGGGCGACGUCCUCUUUGGGGACGCGCCUCGAAACGCUCGGCGGCGUGGCACCGGCUUUAAGCGUAGCAGAAUCUUUCGCUUUGGAAGUCGGGGCCCCGUCUGCCGGAAGACCUGAUCGCAAGGUUGACCUCGGAUCAGGCAGGGAUACCCGCUGAACUUAAGCAUAUCAAUAAGCGGAGGA
Molecule: unclassified non-coding RNA, 329 nt
Filed under: soil metagenome
Description: partial contains 5.8S ribosomal RNA, internal transcribed spacer 2, and large subunit ribosomal RNA
Rfam family: 5.8S ribosomal RNA (bases 1-120)
Source: RNAcentral